This is a regulatory RNA element of Salinivibrio sp. KP-1, 117 nucleotides long. NCBI's taxonomy places the organism in Bacteria, Pseudomonadati, Pseudomonadota, Gammaproteobacteria, Vibrionales, Vibrionaceae. The record is from Rfam.
GCACCCAGACCACCACAACCACCAUUAUUAUUACUGGCACAUCAUGUGUUGGUGCGGGCUGAUACGCACAGAAUUUCCAAAAAAGCCCGUACCUUCCCAGGUACGGGCUUUUUUUUA